GACGAACGCUGGCGGCGUGCUUAACACAUGCAAGUCGAACGGAAAGGCCCUGCUUUUGUUGGUUGCUCGAGUGGCGAACGGGUGAGUAACACGUGAGUAACCUGCCCUUGACUUUGGGAUAACUUCAGGAAACUGGGGCUAUUACCGGAUAUGAGCUCCUGCUGCAUGUUGUGGGUUGGAAAGAUUCGGCGGUUCGGGAUCGUCUCGCUGCUUAUCAGCUUGUUGGUGUGGUAGUUGCUUACCAAGCCUUUGACGGGUAGCCGGCCUGAGAGGGUUACCGGCCACAUUGGGACUGAGAUACGGCCCAGACUCGUACGGGAGGCAGCAGUGGGGAAUAUUGCAGAAUGGGCGGAAGCCUGAUGCAGCAACGCCGCGUGCGGAAUAACGGCCUUCGGGUUGUAAACCGCUUUCGCCUGUGACGAAGAGUGAGUGACGGUAAUGGGUAAAGAAGCACCGGCUAACUACGUG
RNAcentral lists this ribosomal RNA (468 nucleotides) under uncultured bacterium. Its description in RNAcentral is "partial 16S ribosomal RNA". It matches the Rfam family "Bacterial small subunit ribosomal RNA", at positions 28 to 507 of the family's 1533-position model. The record is from RNAcentral.